GGGCCCGCACAAGCGGUGGAGCAUGUGGUUUAAUUCGAUGAUACGCGAGGAACCUUACCAGGGCUUAAAUGUAAGUUGCAUAGAUCAGAGAUGGUCUUUUCUUCGGACUCAUUACAAGGUGCUGCAUGGUUGUCGUCAGCUCGUGCCGUGAGGUGUCAGGUUAAGUCCUAUAACGAGCGCAACCCCUAUCGUUAGUUGCCAGCGGGUAAUGCCGGGAACUCUAGCGAAACUGCCGGUGCAAACCGUGAGGAAGGUGGGGAUGACGUCAAAUCAUCACGGCCCUUACGUCCUGGGCUACACACGUGCUACAAUGGUCGGUACAGAGAGCAGCCACUACGCGAGUAGGAGCGAAUCUCUAAAGCCUAUCUCAGUUCGGAUUGGAGUCUGCAACUCGACUCUAUGAAGCUGGAAUC
RNAcentral lists this ribosomal RNA (413 nucleotides) under uncultured bacterium. Its description in RNAcentral is "bacterial SSU rRNA". It matches the Rfam family "Bacterial small subunit ribosomal RNA", at positions 917 to 1333 of the family's 1533-position model. The record is from RNAcentral.